CAGCAGCCACGGGAACACGGAGGGAGCUAGCGUUGUUCGGAAUCACCGGGCGUAAAGCGCACGUAGGCGGCUAUUCAAGUCAGGGGUGAAAGCCCGGGGCUCAACCCCGGAACUGCCUUUGAAACUAGAUGACUGGAAUCUUGGAGAGGUCAGUGGAAUUCCGAGUGUAGAGGUGAAACUCGUAGAUAUUCGGGAGAACACCAGUGGCGAAGGCGACUGACUGGACAAGUAUUGACGCUGAGGUGCGAAAGCGUGGGGAGCAAACAGGAUUAGAUACCCCUGUAGUCCCUGUCUCUUAUAC
Molecule: ribosomal RNA, 301 nt
Filed under: uncultured bacterium
Lineage: Bacteria
Description: partial 16S ribosomal RNA
Rfam family: Bacterial small subunit ribosomal RNA
Source: RNAcentral